RNAcentral lists this ribosomal RNA (433 nucleotides) under uncultured bacterium. RNAcentral's name for it is "partial 16S ribosomal RNA". It matches the Rfam family "Bacterial small subunit ribosomal RNA", at positions 29 to 507 of the family's 1533-position model. The record is from RNAcentral.
AACGAACGCUGGCGGCAUGCCUAACACAUGCAAGUCGAACGAGACCUUCUGGUUUCGUUUCUCACGUGUGCGUAACGCGGGGGAAACUGCCUUUAUAAUCGGAAUAACUCCCGGAAAGGAGUUCGAAUACCGGCUAAUAUCCUCGGACCAAUGAUUGAUCGCCUUUGGAGGGGUCCGCGUUGGAUUAGCUAGUUGGUAGGGUAAAAGCCUGCCAAGGCGCGGAUUCAUAGCUGGUCUGUGAGGAUGUGGAGCCACACUGAGACUGAGACACGGCCGAGACUCCUACGGGAGGCAGCAGUGGGGAAUAUUGGACAAUGGGCGACAGCCUGAUCAAGCAAUGCCGCGUGAGUGAUGAAGGCCUUAGGGUUGUAAAGCUCUUUUACCCGGGAUGAUAAUGACAGUACCGGGAGAAUAAGCACCGGCUAACUCCGUG